UUCCGGUUGAUCCCGCCGGACCCGACUGCUAUUUGGGUGAGACUAAACCCAUGCGAGUUGAAUGGGAUACCUAAAUUCCCCAUAGCAAACUGCUCAGUAACACAUGAUCAACUUACCCUAUGGAGAAAAAUAACCUCGGGAAACUGAGGAUAAUAUUUCAUAGUUGAGAAGGCUUGGAAAAGUUUUUCAAUGAAAGGGAUAAAAAAAAUGGUUUUUAUUUGCCAUAGGAUAGGAUCGUGGUCGAUUAUGGUAGUUGGCGAGAUAACGGCUCACCAAGCCGAUAAUCGAUAUGGGGCCGCGAGAGCGGGAGCCCCGAGAUGGGUACUGAGACAACGACCCAGGCCUUACGAGGCGCAGCAGGCGCGGAACCUCCGCAAUACACGAAAGUGUGACGGGGUUACCCAAAGUGUCCAAAUUGGACUGUGGUAGGUGAGUAAUGUCCCCUACUAGAAAGGAGAGGGCAAGGCUGGUGCCAGCCGCCCGCGGUAAAACCAGCUCUUCAAGUGGUCGGGAUAAUUAUUGGGCUUAAAGUGUCCGUAGCCGGUUUAGUAAGUUCCUGGUAAAAUCGGGUAGCUUAACUAUCUGUAUGCUAGGAAUACUGCUAUACUAGAGGGCGGGAGAGGUCUGAGGUACUACGGGGGUAGGGGUGAAAUCUUAUAAUCCUUGUAGGACCACCAGUGGCGAAGGCGUCAGACUGGAACGCGCCUGACGGUGAGGGACGAAAGCCAGGGGAGCGAACCGGAUUAGAUACCCGGGUAGUCCUGGCCGUAAACGAUGCAUACUAGGUGAUGGCACGGCCAUGAGCCGUGUCAGUGCCGUAGGGAAACCGUUAAGUGUGCCGCCUGGGAAGUACGGUCGCAAGGCUAAAACUUAAAGGAAUUGGCGGGGGAGCACCAC
RNAcentral lists this ribosomal RNA (897 nucleotides) under uncultured archaeon. RNAcentral's name for it is "bacterial SSU rRNA". It matches the Rfam family "Archaeal small subunit ribosomal RNA", at positions 1 to 882 of the family's 1478-position model. The record is from RNAcentral.